RNAcentral lists this ribosomal RNA (403 nucleotides) under Fusobacteriota bacterium. Its description in RNAcentral is "Fusobacteria bacterium partial 16S ribosomal RNA". It matches the Rfam family "Bacterial small subunit ribosomal RNA", at positions 355 to 776 of the family's 1533-position model. The record is from RNAcentral. Lineage: Bacteria; Fusobacteriati; Fusobacteriota.
UGGGGAAUAUUGCGCAAUGGGCGAAAGCCUGACGCAGCGACGCCGCGUGAGGGAUGAAGGUUUUCGGAUCGUAAACCUCUGUCAGAAGGGAAGAUAAUGACGGUACCAUGGGAGGAAGCCCCGGCUAACUACGUGCCAGCAGCCGCGGUAAUACGUAGGGGGCGAGCGUUGUCCGGAAUUACUGGGCGUAAAGGGUUCGCAGGCGGCAUGGCAAGUCCGAUGUAAAAGGCGAAGGCUCAACCUUCGUAAGCAUCGGAAACUGUCAAGCUUGAGUGAAGGAGAGGCAAGUGGAAUUCCUAGUGUAGCGGUGGAAUGCGUAGAUAUUAGGAGGAAUACCGGUGGCGAAGGCGACUUGCUGGACUUCAACUGACGCUGAGGAACGAAAGCGUGGGUAGCAAACAGG